UGAUCCCUGUACCACGCUUCCUGCGGACACGAAAAGAAGAACCAACACUCAAGAGAAAGGGAGCUCAGCUCCAGGCGUGACGGGCAGGCCUCCACGACAGAGGAAGUCCAACACGUCAGGGUGGGCACCCACUGUAUCCUGUACAGGUUCUCUCUUCUUCUUUCCGUGGGGGUACAGGGAUCUU
RNAcentral lists this non-coding RNA (184 nucleotides) under bacterium. RNAcentral describes it as "6S RNA". It matches the Rfam family "6S / SsrS RNA". Rfam says of the family: E. coli 6S RNA was the first non coding RNA to be sequenced, but its function was unknown until recently. The record is from RNAcentral.